Molecule: long non-coding RNA, 1230 nt
Organism: Malaya genurostris
Lineage: Eukaryota; Metazoa; Arthropoda; Insecta; Diptera; Culicidae
Exons: 4
Source: RefSeq, a predicted model, not a curated record
AUAUAUAUUUUUUUAAAUCAUGAAUCCCUUGAUGCGCAAUGUCGACUUAAAAUUUGGUUUCCAUGCUACACACAAUGUUGCGUAAAAUGAGUACAUUGUACGUUUCAGAAUUUCACAACAUGUUUAUUAUCAACAUUGCGCAAUAAGGGUUGACAAACAAUGUGAUGAUUUCCUAAAUUAUAUGAAUCGAUGAUUAGGUUUUUACUCACAAGCUCAACAGGUCUGACGAAUUCUGUUGAGAACUUAGUGUUAUCGAAUCUACGAUUGGAGAUAGUAAUGAUAUUCUUUUUCUACUUAUUUCAGAUUACUGAUAGGGUUCGACAUGUUUCACUAUAACAGGUCGUUACUAUUCCAUUUCGAUGUCGUCAUCGUUAGGAGAAAAAAAGGCUCUGUUUCUCUGUUGGGUUUAAUUUUGUAUUUCAUCAGAAAUCGAUGUUUCUGACUACUCAACAAGACUAUUGGAUUAUGAGCGCUCUGUAUUUCUAAUAACUUGUUCUCUAUUUCGAUCGUUUGUAAUAUUUUUCAUUUUGUAUUUCGAUAGGACUUUGUACAUUCGGUCGAAAUAUUCCGGUUCGAUCGAUUGGCAGGAUAGGGGUGAAAGUCUCUAGCUCGGACCUGGAUAAAUUUCUAGUACCAGUAAAAUCCUAACACUAAAGAUCCUAUACAUUCAUAAACUCAAGAAUCGGAUUCUUGUGGUAGGUGCUUCGUUACGCCUGUGUAAUUAAGAUCUUACGAUUCGCAAAAUCGGGAUUGUUUUUUGUUUCCUAGAAGUGAUGGAUUUGUUUUUUAAUUGAUGAAAGAUAAAAUUUUUUAUUCAGUGUUUGUAAAACUUGAACAACAGAACUUUUAAUCAAUGCUUUUGCAAUUAAUCUGAUGCAUGGCUUGAAUGUAAAGUUUAAAUAGUAGUUUAACAAAAUUACUGGCGUUUAUUCUCUACUCACAUUUGGCUGAAAACUUUGAAUCAAAAUCGGCGCUUGUCUAGAAGAAUCUAGAACGUUUUGUUGCAGUAUCGUGGAACUGGACUAAAGACAUCCCGAGCUACGGAAAGUUCGAAGAUAUCUAAUUUCCUUUUUCAGCAUUACGACUCAUCUCGAUUACUAUUCGCAUUCUUAGGAAGGUGACAAAAAAAUCAAACGACGGUCCGGUCAACUAAUCUGUUUUAAAUGCAGAAAAGCUACUGUUCUAAAAUGGACACUCAAAAAGAAGUGAACAAUAAACUCGUUAAAUGAA